Long non-coding RNA from Lingula anatina, 249 nucleotides. The record is from RefSeq and is a predicted model, not a curated record. NCBI's taxonomy places the organism in Eukaryota, Metazoa, Brachiopoda, Lingulata, Lingulida, Lingulidae.
UUAGGCUCUGUGGAAGAGGAACAGGAAGGCGCCAGAGAAGACAGAUGUCAAGACGCCAUUCCAGUGAAAGAUUGGUUGUUUGCAAUGUUUUAUCAGAACGAAAUCAAGGCUUGUGAGGACAAUUUUAAAAAGCUAGGUUAUGACGACACCACUUUUAUUGCCGGGAUGAGCAAAGAGGAAAUUCGCCAAGUCGGCAUAAUCAAUGGGGACCACGUUAACCUGGUACACGCAGAGGUACAAAAACUUCCC